CCACGGUGAAUACGUUCCCGGGCCUUGUACACACCGCCCGUCACGCCAUGGAAGUCGGGGGCACCCGAAGUCGUCCCUCGCGGACGCCGAAGGUGAAACCGAUGACUGGGGCG
Molecule: ribosomal RNA, 113 nt
Filed under: uncultured bacterium
Lineage: Bacteria
Description: partial 16S ribosomal RNA
Rfam family: Bacterial small subunit ribosomal RNA
Source: RNAcentral